ACAGAGACACAAGAAUGGAAGAAAUUUCACGCCGUAAGUGCAAGCCUAUGUCACUACACUAGUAAUCUUGUUGGGAAGGUCAAGUGUACUUGCAGACCUGAAAGAUAGGCUCCAUGGACAUAGCCAUUGUAGUGCUCGCUGGUGUGCUCGCCGGUGAAGUAUACCCUCCCAACCGGUGCCCUAAGCUGGUCGUAUUCGUAGCGGUUGACGCCAACUGGCCAGUUGGAGAAGGUGCCCUUGUAGAACCUGUCGGACCACCACCUCGGGACAAGGAUGUCGGUGGCGUCCGGGACGUCCUUGCCGGGGAACA
Molecule: long non-coding RNA, 310 nt
Filed under: Zea mays
Lineage: Eukaryota; Viridiplantae; Streptophyta; Magnoliopsida; Poales; Poaceae
Description: long non-coding RNA (ZMAY_LNC000371)
Source: RNAcentral